This 164-nucleotide small nuclear RNA is filed under the name Castor canadensis (American beaver). RNAcentral's name for it is "U1 spliceosomal RNA (ENSCCNG00000000150.1)". It matches the Rfam family "U1 spliceosomal RNA". From Rfam's summary of the family: U1 is a small nuclear RNA (snRNA) component of the spliceosome (involved in pre-mRNA splicing). Its 5' end forms complementary base pairs with the 5' splice junction, thus defining the 5' donor site of an intron. Lineage: Eukaryota; Metazoa; Chordata; Mammalia; Rodentia; Castoridae. The record is from Rfam by way of RNAcentral.
AUACUUACCUGGCAGGGGAGAUACCAUGAUCAAGAAGAUGGUUUUCCCAUGGCGAAGCUUAUCCAUUGCACUCCGAGUGUGCUGACCCCUGCGAUUUCCCCAAAUGUGGGAAACUCAACUGCAUAAUUUGUGGUCGUGGAGGACUGCAUUCACACUCUCCCCUA